GAGAAAGACACAGCGACCACAGCCAGGGAGGACGACCAGGAGAGCUCACUCAGAGGAGCGCCAUCUACGGGAGAGAAUUCUCCAGUCAGCCGGAUGGAAAGCCUCCCACCUAGUUCCACCUAUCAAGCGUCUCAUUGGUGAUCCACUUCUCCUGAGUACUAAUUAGUUCCACCUGUUCCUUAUUACCCUUAUGUUGAAAUACCUGUCCUUUGUGUAUAGCAAUACCUCAUUGUGAGGUAUUGCUAUGACUAUGUGUAUGCAUACUGAGCUGUUUUUCUGUUCUGUUUGCUCUCUGGUUUUGACCCUGCUUGUUUUGGGGAUUUCUGUUUGUUGGAUCUUCCCCUCUGUUUCAUUGUUAAUCUACUGCCAGCACAAUUCUGAACUUUGCUUACUUCUGUUUAUGUUGUGAAACACCCUUUUGCCAUUGUUUGCUCUGUUCUGGUUUUGAUCCCUGCCUGUUUACUGUUUAUGCCUCUGGAUUGCCCCAAUAUCAGUAAAGAUUUACCAUCUAUUUCA
Long non-coding RNA from Electrophorus electricus (electric eel), 516 nucleotides. RefSeq lists it as uncharacterized. Lineage: Eukaryota; Metazoa; Chordata; Actinopteri; Gymnotiformes; Gymnotidae. The record is from RefSeq and is a predicted model, not a curated record.